RNAcentral lists this long non-coding RNA (923 nucleotides) under Marmota monax (woodchuck). Lineage: Eukaryota; Metazoa; Chordata; Mammalia; Rodentia; Sciuridae. The record is from RNAcentral.
UUUUUUUCUGUUGUUACUUUUUAUAUAACAAUUGUUUUGGCUAUGCAUGUCUUUUUUUCCUUUAGAUUGACUUUAAAAUUAUUCUUUGCUUGUAACAGGUAUAACAGCCCACCCCUGUGCCAUGGCAUUGAAUCAGAAAUAAAAAUGCACUAGGGAAGGACUAAGCUUUUCAAGCAGAAAUCCACUUUAUUUUUCAAUUUAAUCAUCUAUUUUCUAACUCACAUAUUGAUUAUACUCAUGUUUUCUCCUUCAAUUCUUUGCUUCUUUCUCUCCCCUCCCUCCUACUCUUCCUCUUCUUCCUCAUCCUUUUUUUCUUCCUUUCCCUGAGAUUAUGAAUAAGGUGCUUUCCCCAUAAUAUCUCCAAAACCAUUCAUUGUCAAUGUAGAAGUGGAAGUUUUGUUUGUUUGUUUGUUUUUGUUUUUGAAAGUACUUAUCUGUUCGUUUACUCAACUCUUGUUAAUUCCCAAAAUUUAAAUUGUUUUUAAUAGCAAAUGUGGUUAUUAUUUACAAAUAUUCAUUUUCUAUUAUACCCUCCACUUUUUGUUUUCUUCUGGGGUGGGAUCCUAGUAUGUUGCCCUGGCCAAUCUUGGGCUCAAGGUUCUCUUGUCUCAGUGUCCAUUUUAUAGAUGUUAUAGGUGCAUGCCACCAAGACUAGUUGUGAUGCCAUACUUUUUAAAUUUAGGUUAUUUGUUUGCUAUAUAAUCCACUUUUUUUGACUUUUAUUCCUAACUUGUCCCUUUCCUCUAUAUACUUGAGAAACUCAAGUUUUUCUCAAUGUUGUUUUGAACUUUCCAAAACCUAAAUCUAGUAACAAUGAUGAGAUUUUAAUUAUAUUGUUCUGUUCUUUACCAUUUAUUAUAAAAAUAAAAUUAUACAGCCAAGUUUAAAAACUUUAAAGUUCACAUAUAUAUUAUGGAUGAUAU